GCAGUCGAGCGAACAGAUAAGGAGCUUGCUCCUUUGACGUUAGCGGCGGACGGGUGAGUAACACGUGGGUAACCUACCUAUAAGACUGGGAUAACUUCGGGAAACCGGAGCUAAUACCGGAUAACAUUUGGAACCGCAUGGUUCUAAAGUGAAAGAUGGUUUUGCUAUCACUUAUAGAUGGACCCGCGCCGUAUUAGCUAGUUGGUAAGGUAACGGCUUACCAAGGCGACGAUACGUAGCCGACCUGAGAGGGUGAUCGGCCACACUGGAACUGAGACACGGUCCAGACUCCUACGGGAGGCAGCAGUAGGGAAUCUUCCGCAAUGGGCGAAAGCCUGACGGAGCAACGCCGCGUGAGUGAUGAAGGGUUUCGGCUCGUAAAACUCUGUUAUUAGGGAAGAACAAACGUGUAAGUAACUGUGCACGUCUUGACGGUACCUAAUCAGAAAGCCACGGCUAACUACGUGCCAGCAGCCGCGGUAAUACGUAGGUGGCAAGCGUUAUCCGGAAUUAUUGGGCGUAAAGCGCGCGUAGGCGGUUUCUUAAGUCUGAUGUGAAAGCCCACGGCUCAACCGUGGAGGGUCAUUGGAAACUGGGAAACUUGAGUGCAGAAGAGGAAAGUGGAAUUCCAUGUGUAGCGGUGAAAUGCGCAGAGAUAUGGAGGAACACCAGUGGCGAAGGCGACUUUUCUGGUCUGUAACUGACGCUGAUGUGCGAAAGCGUGGGGAUCAAACAGGAUUAGAUACCCUGGUAGUCCACGCCGUAAACGAUGAGUGCUAAGUGUUAGGGGGUUUCCGCCCCUUAGUGCUGCAGCUAACGCAUUAAGCACUCCGCCUGGGGAGUACGACCGCAAGGUUGAAACUCAAAGGAAUUGACGGGGACCCGCACAAGCGGUGGAGCAUGUGGUUUAAUUCGAAGCAACGCGAAGAACCUUACCAAAUCUUGACAUCCUUUGAAAACUCUAGAGAUAGAGCCUUCCCCUUCGGGGGACAAAGUGACAGGUGGUGCAUGGUUGUCGUCAGCUCGUGUCGUGAGAUGUUGGGUUAAGUCCCGCAACGAGCGCAACCCUUAAGCUUAGUUGCCAUCAUUAAGUUGGGCACUCUAGGUUGACUGCCGGUGACAAACCGGAGGAAGGUGGGGAUGACGUCAAAUCAUCAUGCCCCUUAUGAUUUGGGCUACACACGUGCUACAAUGGACAAUACAAAGGGCAGCUAAACCGCGAGGUCAUGCAAAUCCCAUAAAGUUGUUCUCAGUUCGGAUUGUAGUCUGCAACUCGACUACAUGAAGCUGGAAUCGCUAGUAAUCGUAGAUCAGCAUGCUACGGUGAAUACGUUCCCGGGUCUUGUACACACCGCCCGUCACACCACGAGAGUUUGUAACACCCGAAGCCGGUGGAGUAACCAUUU
This 1406-nucleotide ribosomal RNA is filed under the name Staphylococcus sp. CBU054G. RNAcentral describes it as "bacterial SSU rRNA". It matches the Rfam family "Bacterial small subunit ribosomal RNA". The record is from RNAcentral. Lineage: Bacteria; Bacillati; Bacillota; Bacilli; Caryophanales; Staphylococcaceae.